AGCAAGAUCCCUGGCAGUGAUGUUUACAACUAACUGAUCACAACCAGUUACAGAUUCAUUUGUUCCUUCACAGCCACUGCUUCACUUGACUAGCCUUAA
Cercocebus atys (sooty mangabey) is the source of this 99-nucleotide unclassified non-coding RNA. It matches the Rfam family "Y RNA". Rfam says of the family: Y RNAs are components of the Ro ribonucleoprotein particle (Ro RNP), in association with Ro60 and La proteins. The Y RNAs and Ro60 and La proteins are well conserved, but the function of the Ro RNP is not known. The record is from Ensembl. Lineage: Eukaryota; Metazoa; Chordata; Mammalia; Primates; Cercopithecidae.